This is a long non-coding RNA of Gossypium arboreum, 935 nucleotides long. RefSeq lists it as uncharacterized. Lineage: Eukaryota; Viridiplantae; Streptophyta; Magnoliopsida; Malvales; Malvaceae. The record is from RefSeq and is a predicted model, not a curated record. The transcript is spliced from 2 exons.
UGUGUUGGCGAGCUAGGGUUUGCCAAUUUGUUUGGCAAGUUGGGUGCGCUAAUUUGUGUGGCGAACUGAGUUUGCCGGUUAAAGAUACGGUCAAACUCAAAUUAAGAAAAAGUGAUUUAGUGUAUUUAGGAAUACUUUACGUGCAAGUAACAACUUUUUAAGUCAAACAGGGUAUCCAAAGAUAUCUAGCACUCUUAAGUCUAUACAUACGACCCUUAACUCUAUGAAAUUCGUCACUGAAUAUUCUGUCUUCAAAGUCUCAGUUCUAGAUUCUAUUCAUAGCAAGUCGGGUAAGUCCCUGCCUUGUUAGGAUUGAUCGUCCCAAAAGCUAGGUUCGCUUGCAUGUGCAAAAUCUGUAUGCUUUGUUAGUGAUUUUCUUGUUUAUUGCGAACCAACCAGACCAUCUUCUAACAAGGACAAAGUAGAGCAUUUGAGACCGAAAGGAGCGAAAAACAAGCCAAAAAGGACAAAUAGAGUUGUUUUCAGGAUCCACACGGCCUAGGCAUUUCCACACGGGUAAGCCACACGCCCGUAUGAGCCACAUGGGCUGGCCACACGCCCAUGUGCCAACCCGUGUCGAUUUUGCACCCUGCUUCCAAAAUACGCAGAAAAACUCAAUUUUUAGGCUUUUUGAGCAUUCCAAAGUUUAUAAAUAGCAAUUAAAAGAGGACCUAAGGGGGCAAUCAGAGGAGAUCGAAGAAAACACUCAAAGAAUGCCAUCAAAAUCAACUCGGAAGUGGAACCCCCUCAAGAUCAAAGAUCUCUAUUUAAUUUCUUUCGAAGUUUUAUUAGUUUCUGUUAUGUCUUGUGGUUAUCCUAACUUUGAGAUAUUUCUAUUUAGGAUUAUGAACUAAUCUAGAUACCUAGGGAGGAUGAAACCUAUGAUGAAUUCUAUGAUGAAUGUUAUUAUUUAAUUUCUGUUUUUAUGUGAUAAA